Molecule: ribosomal RNA, 330 nt
Filed under: uncultured eukaryote
Lineage: Eukaryota
Description: partial 18S ribosomal RNA
Rfam family: Eukaryotic small subunit ribosomal RNA
Source: RNAcentral
CCCCUAGAUGUUCUGGGCCGCACGCGCGCUACACUGAACAGUUCAACAAGUCUUAACCUUGGCCGAUAGGUCUGGGUAAUCUUUGAACGCUGUUCGUGAUUGGGAUAGACCUUUGCAAUUAUGGGUCUUCAACGAGGAAUUCCUAGUAAACGCAAGUCAUCAGCUUGCAUUGAUUACGUCCCUGCCCUUUGUACACACCGCCCGUCGCUACUACCGAUUGGAUGGUUUAGCGAGAGCCUUGGAUUGGAGCCCAGGUGGUCGGCAACGGCCGCUCGGGAUGCCGAGAAAUUGCUCCAGCUGACUCAUCUAGAGGAAGUAAAAGUCGUAACA